GAUGAACGCUAGCGGCAGGCUUAACACAUGCAAGUCGAGGGGUAGAAGGAGCUUGCUCCUUUGAGACCGGCGCACGGGUGCGUAACGCGUAUGCAAUCUACCUUUUGCAGAGGGAUAGCCCAGAGAAAUUUGGAUUAAUACCUCAUAGUAUGUGAGGAUGGCAUCAUUUUCACAUUAAAGUCACAACGGCAAAAGAUGAGCAUGCGUCCCAUUAGCUAGUUGGUAAGGUAACGGCUUACCAAGGCUACGAUGGGUAGGGUCCUGAGAGGGAGAUCCCCCACACUGGUACUGAGACACGGACCGA
RNAcentral lists this ribosomal RNA (304 nucleotides) under uncultured bacterium. RNAcentral describes it as "bacterial SSU rRNA". It matches the Rfam family "Bacterial small subunit ribosomal RNA", at positions 28 to 334 of the family's 1533-position model. The record is from RNAcentral.